UAGAUUGAAGCCAGUUGAUUAGGGUGUUUAGCUGUUAACUAAGUGUUUGUGGGUUUAAGUCCCAUUAAUCUAG
This 73-nucleotide transfer RNA is filed under the name Pan paniscus (pygmy chimpanzee). It matches the Rfam family "tRNA". From Rfam's summary of the family: Transfer RNA (tRNA) molecules are approximately 80 nucleotides in length. Their secondary structure includes four short double-helical elements and three loops (D, anti-codon, and T loops). The record is from Rfam by way of RNAcentral. Lineage: Eukaryota; Metazoa; Chordata; Mammalia; Primates; Hominidae. RNAcentral also lists the same sequence under 1 other name.